RNAcentral lists this ribosomal RNA (1596 nucleotides) under Triticum aestivum (bread wheat). Its description in RNAcentral is "partial small subunit ribosomal RNA". Lineage: Eukaryota; Viridiplantae; Streptophyta; Magnoliopsida; Poales; Poaceae. The record is from RNAcentral.
AUGGGGAUCCCUACCGAGGAAGAUCCCAAAGAGAUGAAGAACCACCAAAACUCUGUGGAUGAAAUGGAGAUGAAGGUGGUCAAGUUUUCGCGGGGGAAGGCUGCUAAUUUGGCGGCUCUGCGUGAUAAGAAAUUGAAAGGGCAGCUCACCGGAAAAGAGAAGUUAAUCGGAAUAUCUGCCAAAGCUGCUGCGCAAGCUGAAAAGUGGUUUUUACCUAUUGAGGGGGGCUACUUGGAGCCUGAAGAUUUGGAGAAGACAUAUAGAUUUACGCAGCCACAGAUAGCUAGCAUUGUCGACAUUUCGAGUGCAAGAAAACCAUUUGAUAUGGUCUUACCUGCACUUGGUCCUUAUACUCUAGAGUACACCUCAAAUGGUCGCUACAUGAUAGUAGGUGGGCGAAAAGGUCAUAUUGGUAUGAUGGAUAUGUUGAGUAUGGAUCUCAUCAAGGAGUUUCAGGUGAGGGAAACUGUGCGCGAUGUGGCAUUCUUACACAAUGAGCAACUCUUUGCAGUCGCCCAGAAGAAGUACCCCUACAUAUACAAUCGUCAUGGCACAGAAAUUCACUGUUUGAAGGAACAUGGCGAAGCGCUGAAACUUCAGUUUCUGGAUAAACACUUCCUCUUGGCAUCGAUAAACAGCUUUGGGCAGCUCCACUACCAAGAUAUGAGCACCGGCGAGAUGAUUGCAAAUCACAGGACAGGUCUAGGGCCUACAGAUGUUAUGCGUGUAAAUCCGUACAACGCUGUCAUUGGCCUUGGGCAUGCUGAUGGCAAAGUUACCAUGUGGAAGCCAACCAGCGUGAAGCCACUUGUCACAAUGCUGUGCCAUAAUGGCCAUGUGACUGCUGUUGCAUUUGAGAGGGGUGGUCAUCUUAUGGCAACUGCAGGUGUUGACAAGAAGAUUAAGAUUUGGGAUCUCAGGAAGUACGAGGUUGUGCAUACACACGCUGCACGAGCUGAGUCCUUGGAUUUCAGCCAGAAGGGGUUGUUGGCCGCCAGUAAUGGAUCCCUAGUAGAGAUAUACAGGGAUGUGGGGGGCCAUGAUUAUAAAGUUUAUAUGAAGCAUAGGAUGGUAAAGGGAUAUCAGGUCGGGAAGGUUUUGUUCCGCCCUUACGAGGAUAUCUGUUCGAUUGGGCACUCCACGGGGUUUUCUUCCAUUCUCGUUCCUGGAUCAGGCGAGGCCAACUUUGAUACCUUUGUUGAGAACCCUGUGGAGACUGCCAAGCAAAGGAGGGAGAGGGAGGUGCAUGCUCUCCUCAAUAAGCUUCAGCCGGAGACUGUGAUGCUCAACCCAAAUAUGAUCGGUAACGUGAGACAGCCAAAGAAGAAAGAGAAGAAGACCAAAAAAGAAGUUGAAGAGGAGAUUGAAGAUGCGGUGGAGGCCGCCAAGAGCACGAAGGUGAAGAAUAAGACCAAGGGCAGGAGCAAACCCAGCAAGCGGGCCAAGAAGAAGGAAGAAGAGGUCCUCAGAGCCAAGAGGCCUCUACUGGACCAGUACAAGGAAAUCGGCGGGCAUCCCGACAAGAAACAGCGGGUAGGCGACAAGGCCGAGCUGCCAAAGGCCCUGCAGCGGUUUGCCAAGAACAAGCAAUCAUGA